CCUACGGGGGGCAGCAGUGGGGAAUUUUGGACAAUGGGCGAAAGCCUGAUCCAGCAAUGCCGCGUGCAGGAUGAAGGCCUUCGGGUUGUAAACUGCUUUUGUACGGAACGAAACGGUCUCUUCUAAUAAAGGAGGCUAAUGACGGUACCGUAAGAAUAAGCACCGGCUAACUACGUGCCAGCAGCCGCGGUAAUACGUAGGGUGCGAGCGUUAAUCGGAAUUACUGGGCGUAAAGCGUGCGCAGGCGGUUAUGUAAGACAGAUGUGAAAUCCCCGGGCUCAACCUGGGACCUGCAUUUGUGACUGCAUAGCUAGAGUACGGUAGAGGGGGAUGGAAUUCCGCGUGUAGCAGUGAAAUGCGUAGAUAUGCGGAGGAACACCGAUGGCGAAGGCAAUCCCCUGGACCUGUACUGACGCUCAUGCACGAAAGCGUGGGGAGCAAACAGGAUUAGAUACCCCGGUAGUC
RNAcentral lists this ribosomal RNA (465 nucleotides) under uncultured bacterium. RNAcentral describes it as "bacterial SSU rRNA". It matches the Rfam family "Bacterial small subunit ribosomal RNA", at positions 338 to 795 of the family's 1533-position model. The record is from RNAcentral.